Molecule: ribosomal RNA, 360 nt
Filed under: uncultured Synergistaceae bacterium
Lineage: Bacteria; Thermotogati; Synergistota; Synergistia; Synergistales; Synergistaceae
Description: bacterial SSU rRNA
Rfam family: Bacterial small subunit ribosomal RNA
Source: RNAcentral
UGGAGAGCGUACACAGGUGCUGCAUGGCUGUCGUCAGCUCGUGUCGUGAGAUGUUGGGUUAAGUCCCGCAACGAGCGCAACCCUGCAUUCAGUUGCCAUCGGGUGAAGCCGGGCACUCUGGAAGGACUGCCAUCGACAAGAUGGAGGAAGUGGGGACGACGUCAAGUCAUCAUGGCCCUUAUGUCCAGGGCGACACACGUGCUACAAUGGCCGGCACAACGGGAAGCGAGUUCGCGAGGACGAGCGGAUCCCUUAAAGCCGGUCGCAGUUCGGAUUGAAGUCUGCAACUCGACUUCAUGAAGCUGGAAUCGCUAGUAAUCGCAGAUCAGCCAAGCUGCGGUGAAUACGUUCCCGGGCCUU